UUUACUCAAAUCGACCGCGUAUAUCGCGCUUUCCGUCCAACCGCCGGCUUCCGGCAUUUGGGUGAAACUUCCCGAACAACGCGACGCCGAAAACACGCGACUGACGACGACGAUACCCUCCUUUCUCCUCUUUUCAGGCCAAGUCUGUGUCCAAGGUCAUCAAGGCCGACAUCUACCCCGAGUUCGGCACCUACCCCGGCGGCGGCGAGUCCCCCAUCAUCCCCUUCGGCUCCGAGAAGAACGCCGAGCGUGAGGUCAUCCACGGCCGCUGGGCGAUGCUCGGCGUGACCGGUGCCUGGGCCGCCGAGAACGGCACCGGCAUCCCCUGGUUCACCGCCGGUACCCUCUGCACCCCCGACGACUGCACCGCCGUCGCGGACAAGUUCCCCGGCGCCGUCGCUCCCCUCGCCCCCGAGGGCUCCGGCUACCCCUCCUUCUGGGCCGUCCUCGCCAUCGAGGUCGUCCUCGUCGGCCUCGCUGAGGCUUACCGCACCGGCCUCUCCGACCCCGUCUUCGACGAGCUCACCGUCGGUGACGUGUCCCCCGGUGGCCGCUUCGACCCCCUCGGCCUCGCCGAGUCCGGUGACCUCGAGGAGCUCAAGAUCAAGGAGCUCAAGCACUGCCGCCUCUCCAUGUUCGCGUGGCUCGGCUGCAUCAUGCAGGGUCUCGCCACCCAGGAGGGCCCCAUCGCCAACUGGCAGGCGCACGUCGCGGACCCCGUCCACGCCAACGUGCUCACCAACGCCGCCUCCGGCUUCGGCUUCUACUAAAUUGUGCGACCUCGCACGAUGGUAGUCCGUCCUGUUGUACCACUUGACUCUAGCGUUAGGUAGUUAGCCAAGGGAGAGUUGUAACAAAGCUUCUCGCUUCCACAAGUCUUAUGCUCCCGCACUCGAAAAAGCGAAUCCUCCGAACCGUACUGAACCAAUGAACCAACGCGAGCUUCGCGGGAAAUUAGAAAGUUCCCGAUUCUCGCUUUGUGGACCAAUGGGAGCGCGGCAGCCGCCGAAUGGAUCCGCUAAAUCCUCAUCGAUGGUUUGUUUUCUUCGAUGAAAUCCAGUUCAGGAGCUUUUCAUUGGCUUUUCAAGAGACGAGAAUCAAUUGCUGCGCUGUGACUGGCCGAAAAGGGAGAUUCUGUUGGCCUGAUUCGCAUCAAAGUGAGUAAAAAGCUGACUCGCCGCAACUCCCUCGCCAUUCCAGCACACGCAACUUUGCAACACACACACCAAAACUCAUUACUACAAUCAUGGCCUGCAUUGCCUCCUCCUUCACCGGCUCCGUCGCGGCCCUCAAGGCGACCAAGAUCCAGGUGCGCAUCGCAUCAUGCGCCGUGUUCCGUGUCCGUUCUCUUCUUCGGCAAAUGCCCAAAAAAACGCCGAAAUCGCGGGCCAAGGCUCCGCCGAAAACACGCGACUGACGACGACGAUGCCCUCCUUUCUCCUCUUUUCAGGCCAAGUCUGUUUCCAAGGUCAUCAAGGCCGACAUCUACCCCGAGUUCGGCACCUACCCCGGCGGCGGCGAGUCCCCCAUCAUCCCCUUCGGCUCCGAGAAGAACGCCGAGCGUGAGGUCAUCCACGGCCGCUGGGCGAUGCUCGGCGUGACCGGUGCCUGGGCCGCCGAGAACGGCACCGGCAUCCCCUGGUUCACCGCCGGUACCCUCUGCACCCCCGACGACUGCACCGCCGUCGCGGACAAGUUCCCCGGCGCCGUCGCUCCCCUCGCCCCCGAGGGCUCCGGCUACCCCUCCUUCUGGGCCGUCCUCGCCAUCGAGGUCGUCCUCGUCGGCCUCGCUGAGGCUUACCGCACCGGCCUCUCCGACCCCGUCUUCGACGAGCUCACCGUCGGUGACGUGUCCCCCGGUGGCCGCUUCGACCCCCUCGGCCUCGCCGAGUCCGGUGACCUCGAGGAGCUCAAGAUCAAGGAGCUCAAGCACUGCCGCCUCUCCAUGUUCGCGUGGCUCGGCUGCAUCAUGCAGGGUCUCGCCACCCAGGAGGGCCCCAUCGCCAACUGGCAGGCGCACGUCGCGGACCCCGUCCACGCCAACGUGCUCACCAACGCCGCCUCCGGCUUCGGCUUCUACUAAGCGGUGUGCCCAAGUUGCCACCCUUUGUCUCCGAAAAUGUUGUAAACCAGUGAACUACGUGUAAGGGAAUAACAACCCAAC
RNAcentral lists this long non-coding RNA (2164 nucleotides) under Micromonas commoda. RNAcentral's name for it is "long non-coding RNA (MCOM_LNC000137)". The record is from RNAcentral. Lineage: Eukaryota; Viridiplantae; Chlorophyta; Mamiellophyceae; Mamiellales; Mamiellaceae.